GAUGAACGCUGGCGGCGUGCUUAACACAUGCAAGUCGAACGAAGCACUUUAUUUGAUUUCCUUCGGGACUGAUUAUUUUGUGACUGAGUGGCGGACGGGUGAGUAACGCGUGGGUAACCUGCCUUGUACAGGGGGAUAACAGUUUGAAACGGCUGCUAAUACCGCAUAAGCGCACGGCAUCGCAUGAUGCAGUGUGAAAAACUCCGGUGGUAUAAGAUGGACCCGCGUUGGAUUAGCUAGUUGGUGAGGUAACGGCCCACCAAGGCGACGAUCCAUAGCCGACCUGAGAGGGUGACCGGCCACAUUGGGACUGAGACACGGCCCAAACUCCUACGGGAGGCAGCAGUGGGGAAUAUUGCACAAUGGGCGAAAGCCUGAUGCAGCGACGCCGCGUGAGCGAAGAAGUAUUUCGGUAUGUAAAGCUCUAUCAGCAGGGAAGAUAAUGACGGUACCUGACGAAGAAGCACCGGCUAAAUACGUG
This 481-nucleotide ribosomal RNA is filed under the name uncultured bacterium. RNAcentral's name for it is "partial 16S ribosomal RNA". It matches the Rfam family "Bacterial small subunit ribosomal RNA", at positions 28 to 507 of the family's 1533-position model. The record is from RNAcentral.